This 467-nucleotide ribosomal RNA is filed under the name uncultured bacterium. RNAcentral's name for it is "partial 16S ribosomal RNA". It matches the Rfam family "Bacterial small subunit ribosomal RNA", at positions 28 to 506 of the family's 1533-position model. The record is from RNAcentral.
GACGAACGCUGGCGGCGUGCUUAACACAUGCAAGUCGAACGGAAAGGCCCUGCUUUUGUGGGGUGCUCGAGUGGCGAACGGGUGAGUAACACGUGAGUAACCUUCCCUUGACUUUGGGAUAACUUCAGGAAACUGGGGCUAAUACCGGAUAGGAGCUCCUGCUGCAUGGUGGGGGUUGGAACGUUUCGGCGGUUGGGGAUGGACUCGCGGCUUAUCAGCUUGUUGGUGGGGUAGUGGCUUACCAAGGCUUUGACGGGUAGCCGGCCUGAGAGGGUGACCGGCAACAGGGGGACUGAGAGACGGCCAAGACGCCUACGGGAGGCAGGAGUGGGGAAUAUUGCACAAGGGGCGGAAGGCGGAUGGAGCAACGCCGGGUGCGGGAGGACGGCCUUCGGGUUGUAAACCGCUUUAGCCUGUGACGAAGCGUGAGUGACGGUAAUGGGUAAAGAAGCACCGGCUAACUACGU